Molecule: ribosomal RNA, 253 nt
Filed under: uncultured bacterium
Lineage: Bacteria
Description: partial 16S ribosomal RNA
Rfam family: Bacterial small subunit ribosomal RNA
Source: RNAcentral
UACGGAGGAGGCAAGCGUUAUCCGGAGUUAUUGGGCGUAAAGCGUCCGCAGGUGGCACUUCAAGUCUGUCGUCAAAGACUGGGGCUUAACCCUGGAAAGGCGGUGGAAACUGAAGCGCUAGAGUGCGGUAGGGGUAGAGGGAAUUCCCGGUGUAGCGGUGAGAUGCGUAGAGAUCGGGAGGAACACCAGAGGCGAAGGCGGCAAGCUGGAUGGGCACUGACACUCAACUACGAAAGCGUGGGGAGCAAACAGG